This 497-nucleotide ribosomal RNA is filed under the name uncultured bacterium. Its description in RNAcentral is "partial 16S ribosomal RNA". It matches the Rfam family "Bacterial small subunit ribosomal RNA", at positions 28 to 507 of the family's 1533-position model. The record is from RNAcentral.
GAUGAACGCUGGCGGCGUGCCUAAUACAUGCAAGUCGAGCGAACGGACGAGAAGCUUGCUUCUCUGAUGUUAGCGGCGGACGGGUGAGUAACACGUGGAUAACCUACCUAUAAGACUGGGAUAACUUCGGGAAACCGGAGCUAAUACCGGAUAAUAUUUUGAACCGCAUGGUUCAAAAGUAAAAGACGGUCUUGCUGUCACUUAUAGAUGGAUCCGCGCUGCAUUAGCUAGUUGGUAAGGUAACGGCUUACCAAGGCAACGAUGCAUAGCCGACCUGAGAGGGUGAUCGGCCACACUGGAACUGAGACAUGGUCCAGACUCCUACGGGAGGCAGCAGUAGGGAAUCUUCCGCAAUGGGCGAAAGCCUGACGGAGCAACGCCGCGUGAGUGAUGAAGGUCUUCGGAUCGUAAAACUCUGUUAUUAGGGAAGAACAUAUGUGUAAGUAACUGUGCACAUCUUGACGGUACCUAAACAGAAAGCCACGGCUAACUACGUG